This 468-nucleotide ribosomal RNA is filed under the name uncultured bacterium. RNAcentral describes it as "partial 16S ribosomal RNA". It matches the Rfam family "Bacterial small subunit ribosomal RNA", at positions 28 to 507 of the family's 1533-position model. The record is from RNAcentral.
GACGAACGCUGGCGGCGUGCUUAACACAUGCAAGUCGAACGGAAGGACCCGGCUUUUGUUUGUUUCUCGAUUGCCGAACGGGGGAGUAACACAUGAGUAACCUCCCCUUAACUUUGGGAUAACUUCAGGAAACUGGGUCUCUUACCGGGUAGAAUCUCCUGCUCCAUGUUGUUGGUUGGAAAGUUUCGGCGGUUCGGGAUGUACUCGCGGGUUAUCCGCUGGUUGGUGUGGUAGUUGUUUACCAAGGCUUUGACGGAUAGGCGGCAUGAGAGGGGGGACGGCGACAUGGGGACUGAGAGACGGAGCAGAAUCGUAUGGGAGGCAGUAGUGGGGAAUAUUGCACAACGGGCGGAAGUGUGAGGCAGAAAUGCCGGGUGCGGGAUGACGGCUUUUGGGGGGUAAACCGAUUUGGCAGGUGACGAAGAGUGAGUGACGGUAAUGGGUAAAGAAGCACCGGCUAACUACGUG